AGAAAGAGACCAAAUGAGAGUGAAAGGCAAGGGCAAGCGAUAGAAAGGAGAGUCCCUCGCGCGAACUACUACUACUAGAAAAUGGUGAGACCAUUAGUGAAAGAAGGACCAAGGAGGAUCCUAUCCUAAAGGAGAAGGAGGAGUAGGAGGAGUCAGUUUUCUUUGAAGAUCGAGGAACGUAGUGUCGGACAAUUAUGCCAUUCGGAAGAAGUCUUCUACAGAAGAAAAGCCUGUUACGAGUAAGUGGAGAGGAAAGAUCUCCAGGGAUUCUUAUCUCGUGCCAUUCGGAAGAAGUAUUCUACAGAAGAAAAGCCUGUUACGAGUAAUUGGAGAGGAAAGAUCUCCAGGGAUUCUUAUCUCAUUCCAUUCCAGUGGCUCAACCAGUAACCAAUGGCGAAAACUAAAAAAUCCAUGGUUUCCAGGUAGAACCCUAUUUCGCCCAAGUUAUUUCGGUACCGGAAAAAAAAAUCGGUUUUUCGCACAGCUUGCUCAUAGUGUAGGUCCCACUUGUAUAUCGUAUUUGGCCGAAGAAGCAUCGGACAGGUUGGAGUUCGUACCUUCUUGGGACUCCAUGGACCAAGAUCUGCUUUUAUUAUAUGGUCAAUACCAAUCUACUUUAGUAGAUCAUGUGGAUGUAGAAAAAGCUUCUAAUUUGGAUGAAACAGAAACAUCUCUUUUCCAUUACUAUUUACCCAGUUCAUAUCUUUGUUUCGUGUGUUCCUGGGAGGAAUUCGAUCUCGGAAUACCACCUAAAUAACUACGGCCAGAGAGUCAAAUAGGUCGGGAAGAAAGAGUCUGAGGUCGGGUCGGACGACAUACAUCUUGGUUGGUUCCACCACCACU
RNAcentral lists this long non-coding RNA (843 nucleotides) under Nicotiana benthamiana. RNAcentral describes it as "long non-coding RNA (NBEN_LNC004757)". The record is from RNAcentral. Lineage: Eukaryota; Viridiplantae; Streptophyta; Magnoliopsida; Solanales; Solanaceae.